UCAGACGAUGCGUCAUGCAUAUCAAUAAGCGGAGGAAAAGAAGCUAACAAGGAUUCCCUUAGUAACGGCGAGUGAAGCGGGAAGAGCUCAAAUUUGAAAUCUUCAAGGUUUUACCUUGACGAAUUGUAGUUUAAAGAAGUGUUUUCUGUUAGUGGAGUGGCAAAAGUUCUUUGGAAUAGGACAUCAUAGAGGGUGAGAAUCCCGUAUUUGGUCAUUCCUUCUAGCUUUGUGAUACACUUUCAAAGAGUCGGAUUGUUUGGGAAUGCAGUCCAAAAUGGGUGGUAAAUUUCAUCUAAAGCUAAAUAUUGGCGAGAGACCGAUAGCGAACAAGUACCGUGAGGGAAAGAUGAAAAGAACUUUGAAAAGAGAGUUAAACAGUACGUGAAAUUGUCAAAAGGGAAGCGUUUGACACCAGUGUUGUUUUUCCUCGAAAAUCAAUUAAAAAGAGUUGGAUUCAUGCAAUGUUGUAUUGACCUUAUCAGCUUGCAAUUUGGUUUUGGGUUCUUUUUUGAUGCACUUUUCGGUUAACAAGUCAACAUCAAUUUCCUUUGCUGUAAAAGGGCAGAAGGAAGGUGGCUUCAAUUUCGGUUGAAGUGUUUAUAGCCUUUUGUCCUCUGCAGGUCGGAGAGACUUGAGGUCUGCAGCGUAGAUCCUUCGGGGUUAGAUACAUUUGUGCUAAGCUACAGCUUUUCAUAGACAACUUGUUGACUAUGUUUAGUCUUGUAACUUACCCGCUUAUGCUAUUUUACCUACGCUUAGGAUGUUGAUAUGCAUGACUGAUAUA
RNAcentral lists this ribosomal RNA (784 nucleotides) under uncultured Neocallimastigales. Its description in RNAcentral is "partial large subunit ribosomal RNA". It matches the Rfam family "Eukaryotic large subunit ribosomal RNA", at positions 18 to 644 of the family's 3401-position model. Lineage: Eukaryota; Fungi; Neocallimastigomycota; Neocallimastigomycetes; Neocallimastigales. The record is from RNAcentral.